CAAUAGCGUAUAUUAAAGUUGUUGCAGUUAAAAAGCUCGUAGUUGAAAUUAAGUGUUGCCUGAGUUUUCUCAAGGCACACAAACUCCCGGUGCGGCACUCCUCCAUUGAUUUGAAGGUGUGUCUGUCCGGGUCGUUUACUGUGAACAAAUUAGAGUGUUCAAAGCAGAUCGAUGUUCGAAUAUGUUAGCAUGGAAUGAUGAGAUAUAGCUUGCAGGGUAAGUUAGCGACCCUGUGAGCAAUGAUUGAUAGGAACUGUUGUGGGUAUUCGUAUGAACAUGUCAGAGGUGAAAUUCUUGGAUUUUGGUCAGACGAACAACUGCGAAANCANNNACCAAGGAUGUUUUCAUNAA
RNAcentral lists this ribosomal RNA (351 nucleotides) under uncultured eukaryote. RNAcentral's name for it is "partial 18S ribosomal RNA". It matches the Rfam family "Eukaryotic small subunit ribosomal RNA", at positions 592 to 976 of the family's 1831-position model. The record is from RNAcentral.